CACGUAGGGGGCGAGCGUUGUCCGGAUUUAUUGGGCGUAAAGAGCUCGUAGGCGGCUUGUCGCGUCGUCCGUGAAAACCCACAGCUCAACUGUGGGCUUGCGGUCGAUACGGGCAGGCUAGAGUUCGGUAGGGGAGACUGGAAUUCCUGGUGUAGCGGUGAAAUGCGCAGAUAUCAGGAGGAACACCGGUGGCGAAGGCGGGUCUCUGGGCCGAUACUGACGCUGAGGAGCGAAAGCGUGGGGAGCGAACAGG
RNAcentral lists this ribosomal RNA (253 nucleotides) under uncultured bacterium. RNAcentral's name for it is "partial 16S ribosomal RNA". It matches the Rfam family "Bacterial small subunit ribosomal RNA", at positions 524 to 776 of the family's 1533-position model. The record is from RNAcentral.